CAUCUUCUGCUUCUUACUCAUAAUUAGGUCAUGGUUCAGAGAGGACUUUUGUCCUUGCUUUUUUUAAAAUUUUAAACUCCCUUUAAAAGGAAGAAACCUCCAGCAGAACCAGGCUCAGGAUGAACAGCCAUCUGCCGAGGCUGACUGGCUUCAGGAGGGAAAAAAAAAAAAAACACACACAAAAAGAAACACAUUAAAACAAAGCUGUAACAGAAUCUCUGAAAGAAGAAAAACAGUUUUGACACCAGUCACUGCUUCCCAGGUUCUGACAGCAGCUAGUUGUGAGGACUGUGUUUCACUCUUUAAAUAAAUACUUUUACUAAAUUAAACACAUUAAACAAAUACAAUACAUAUAUGAAAGAGAGUGUCCUCUUCAUGCAGCACGUUCUCCAUGCACUCUAAAGUUAUAGAGGCAUGUGUAGUCUGGAUGGCCCCAGUUGCUGUUCACCUGUAGGCUCACAUGGGUGAAGGAGUCAAUUUUAUCCAAAAGGUUUAUUGCAGCCUGUUCGCAACAGGAUUAAAUUCUAAUUUGGAGAAAUAGUUCAGAUCAGACCAUUGUGAAAAAUGUUACAAAAUGUUUAGAAAAUAAAUUCAAACAAAAUUCAUUAAGUGAGAAAGACGAGAGUAAAAUUUUAAGCAUUUGUUUUUUCAUAUAUCCGCAAACAUUUUGCAAGUCAUCAGUAUAAAUAAAAUAAAAAACGAAAUAAUCUGUAAGUACAUUUCUUCUGUCUGUUUUACUUGUAAUGUAUACAAUUUUUUGGAUAUAUUUUAAAUCGCUAGUUAAAAAAUAUUGCUGCUCGUAACAGAUCGGAAGUGUCAGAGUUCCGGUGUGAGAGCGUGUGCAUGAGAGUGUGAGUGCGAGUGUUGCAUCUUCUUUCAGCGAGGAUCUUCGUGAGGAGUCUGUGGAGCCAGCGCAGGUGAAGCUGAUCUGUCUCAUCAGCGUGCUGGAAUAUAGGAGCUGCAGAACCCUUCAGUCUUCGCUAGAUGGUUAACGCAUACCGGAAAUUUUUGUCUUCUCUUUUCAAGAACUUGCCGAGAAUACCUGCCUGCUCCGCCGUUUCCACCGACCCCAUCUCGCUCCAACCACCCGCGAUUCCGCCUUGCACUCCCUCGUGCCGGACCCUGGCACCUCACCCCCACGCUCUGAAAGAUCCACGCCAAAUGCCACCUGGUCGGGCGACCCUCGCCCUCUUGCCGAAGUCCAGAGAACUGAAUAUAAUUUGUCCUGUUGUAAAUAAAUCACUUACCUUUUCCAUCCA
Molecule: long non-coding RNA, 1259 nt
Organism: Xiphophorus couchianus (Monterrey platyfish)
Lineage: Eukaryota; Metazoa; Chordata; Actinopteri; Cyprinodontiformes; Poeciliidae
Exons: 3
Source: RefSeq, a predicted model, not a curated record